CCAGAAUGAGUUCUACUAUGUAUCACAAGAUGCAGAUGAUGCAGAUAAAGAUAGUUCAAAGAGAAAAAAUGAUGACAAGUGGUCCUACACCUAAGGUUCCUGCAGAGGGUUCAUCUGAUGUGGUGAUGGCCAUAAAUGCACAGACCCUAUCGGAGAUGGAGAUCCCUGAAAGCUAUAUUGAAUCCCUACCCAAGAAUGGUGCGUUAAUUAUGACCAGAAAGACAAGAGCCAAAAAAGUUUUUCUUCAAUGACUUGUAGAGGAGUGAUUCAUAUGUGAUUUGAUUACAGAAUGGUAAAUGUUUAUAUACAGCAGAGCUGUGUGUUGCCAAGCAGUGUUUAGUUUCUUCAAACUCCAUAUUUGUCUUCUGUUGUUCUAGCACCUGCCUUCUUCAAACUCUCAUGAAGGCUAGGCUAUGGAAGGACUACAAAUUUUUAAUGGUCUGGAGUGUGAGAUAGCUUGCAGUUCUUCGAAGGUGUCAUAUGUUUUAGAUACCGACAAUGUCUUAUAUCGAACGAGAAGUAAAAGAAAGGUAGCAAAGUCUUCGAAUAUUAGUCCAAGCAGAGCUCCACGGUUCCAUGUCACAUAAUAAUAUGUAAAUAGACGUAAUUAGUGAGGUAGAUGACAUAUUUUCAAUUCAUUUUUGUC
This is a long non-coding RNA of Lotus japonicus, 646 nucleotides long. RefSeq lists it as uncharacterized. Lineage: Eukaryota; Viridiplantae; Streptophyta; Magnoliopsida; Fabales; Fabaceae. The record is from RefSeq and is a predicted model, not a curated record. The transcript is spliced from 5 exons.